CAAGGGCCUCAAGCUGCAGCAAGAGAAGCUUAGAUGGGAGAUGAGCUCUGCUAGGAGGAGACGCCACAGCAUGUCCACCCUUGGAAGUUUUCAAGAGCAGGUCAGAAGACACUUGGCUUGAUUAGGAAUUGCUUAGGGACCCCCCACACCAGGCAGCCCUGCUUUCCUCGGACCCCCGCCCCCCGCGCAGGUGGCACUGCUGCACUUCGUCCUCCCCGCCUGCGGGGGGCGCGCUCGCGCCACCACGACGCUCUGCUUCGCGAAGGGAAAGGCAGGUGGGGGGCAGAGCGCUUUUGUCCCUCGCGGGCGUCCGUCGGGCUACCUAUAUAAGCGGGCGGCGGACGAGCGUCCGGCCUUUCCCCGCGGCGCGGGUGGUAGGUUGUCGUCUUGCGGGAGUCAAAUCGGAGAGUCCUCGGGAUGGGGGGUGUGUGUGUGUGUGUGUGUGCGUGCGCGCGCGCGCGCGCGCGCUCACAUAUAUGUGCGCUGGGGGUGUGGGUGUCUGCCUGCGUGCAUGUACAUGUCCAUAGGUGUGUGUACAGGCAGUCCUCAGACUCACGACACAAUCGGUUCCCGAAAACAGUGUCUGAAGUUGAAACGUCGUAACUGGGCCCCGACGUUCCCCAACCGGGGGGUCGGUUUCU
Molecule: long non-coding RNA, 641 nt
Filed under: Crocodylus porosus (Australian saltwater crocodile)
Lineage: Eukaryota; Metazoa; Chordata; Crocodylia; Crocodylidae
Description: lncRNA (ENSCPRG00005007770.1)
Source: RNAcentral